UCCAGCGCACUCACCUAUCCACUAAACAGCAACUUCAAUGUUGAAAGAUUUUAUUUGUUUUUUAAAGGCUUAUGCACUGUAUGAUCAUAUAAUGUAACUAAACCCCCAUUAUUUUUGCCUAGAUUAGGUGUUUUUAAAAAACAAAUAAAAUCUUUCAACAUUGAAGUUGCUGUUUAGUGGAUAGGUGAGUGCGCUGGA
Non-coding RNA from Pelobates cultripes (western spadefoot toad), 198 nucleotides. The record is from the annotation of a GenBank genome assembly. Lineage: Eukaryota; Metazoa; Chordata; Amphibia; Anura; Pelobatidae.